Molecule: ribosomal RNA, 465 nt
Filed under: uncultured bacterium
Lineage: Bacteria
Description: partial 16S ribosomal RNA
Rfam family: Bacterial small subunit ribosomal RNA
Source: RNAcentral
GAUGAACGCUGGCGGCGUGCUUAACACAUGCAAGUCGAACGGAAAGGCUCCUGCUUGCAGGGGUACUCGAGUGGCGAACGGGUGAGUAACACGUGGGUGAUCUGCCCUGCACUUCGGGAUAAGCCUGGGAAACUGGGGCUAAUACCGGAUAGGACGAUGGUUUGGAUGCCAUUGUGGAAAGUUUUUCGGUGUGGGAUGAGCUCGCGGCCGAUCAGCUUGUUGGUGGGGUAAUGGCCUACCAAGGCGUCGACGGGUAGCCGGCCUGAGAGGGUGUACGGCCACAUUGGGACUGAGAUACGGCCCAGACUCCUACGGGAGGCAGCAGUGGGGAAUAUUGCACAAUGGGCGCAAGCCUGAUGCAGCGACGCCGCGUGGGGGAUGACGGCCUUCGGGUUGUAAACUCCUUUCGCUAGGGACGAAGCGCAAGUGACGGUACCUGGAGAAGAAGCACCGGCUAACUACGUG